AGAAUCAACGCUGGCGGCGUGCCUAACACAUGCAAGUCGAACGAGAAAGUGGAGCAAUCCAUGAGUAAAGUGGCGCACGGGUGAGUAACACGUGACUAACCUACCCUUGAGUGGGGGAUAACCUAGAGAAAUCUGGGCUAAUACCGCAUAAUACCUUCGGGUCAAAGGAGCAAUUCGGCUUAAGGAGGGGGUCGCGGCCGAUUAGUUAGUUGGCGGGGUAAUGGCCCACCAAGACUGUGAUCGGUA
This 246-nucleotide ribosomal RNA is filed under the name uncultured bacterium. Its description in RNAcentral is "partial small subunit ribosomal RNA". It matches the Rfam family "Bacterial small subunit ribosomal RNA", at positions 26 to 285 of the family's 1533-position model. The record is from RNAcentral.